This 468-nucleotide ribosomal RNA is filed under the name uncultured bacterium. RNAcentral's name for it is "partial 16S ribosomal RNA". It matches the Rfam family "Bacterial small subunit ribosomal RNA", at positions 28 to 507 of the family's 1533-position model. The record is from RNAcentral.
GACGAACGCUGGCGGCGUGCUUAACACAUGCAAGUCGAACGGAAAGGCCCUGCUUUUGUGGGGUGCUCGAGUGGCGAACGGGUGAGUAACACGUGAGUAACCUGCCCUUGACUUUGGGAUAACUUCAGGAAACUGGGGCUAUUACCGGAUAGGAGCUCCUGCUGCAUGUUGGGGGUUGGAAAGUUUCGGCGGUUGGGGAUGGACUCGCGGCUUACCAGCUUGUUGGUGGGGUAGUGGCUUACCAAGGCUUUGACGGGUAGCCGGCCUGAGAGGGUGACCGGCCACAUUGGGACUGAGAUACGGCCCAGACUCCUACGGGAGGCAGCAGUGGAGAAUAUUGCAGAAUGGGGGGAAGCCUGAUGCAGCAACGCCGCGUGCGGGAUGACGGCCUUCGGGUUGUAAACCGCUUUCGCCUGUGACGAAGCGUGAGUGACGGUAAUGGGUAAAGAAGCACCGGCUAACUACGUG